GAUGAACGCUGGCGGCGUGCCUAAUACAUGCAAGUCGAGCGAACGGACGAGAAGCUUGCUUCUCUGAUGUUAGCGGCGGACGGGUGAGUAGCACGUGGAUAACCUACCUAUAAGACUGGGAUAACUUCGGGAAACCGGAGCUAAUACCGGAUAAUAUUUUGAACCGCAUGGUUCAAAAGUGAAAGACGGUCUUGCUGUCGCUUAUAGAUGGAUCCGCGCUGCAUUAGCUAGUUGGUAAGGUAACGGCUUACCAAGGCAACGAUGCAUAGCCGACCUGAGAGGGUGAUCGGCCACACUGGAACUGAGACACGGUCCAGACUCCUACGGGAGGCAGCAGUAGGGAAUCUUCCGCAAUGGGCGAAAGCCUGACGGAGCAACGCCGCGUGAGUGAUGAAGGUCUUCGGAUCGUAAAACUCUGUUAUUAGGGAAGAACAUAUGUGUAAGUAACUGUGCACAUCUUGACGGUACCUAAUCAGAAAGCCACGGCUAACUACGUG
This 497-nucleotide ribosomal RNA is filed under the name uncultured bacterium. RNAcentral's name for it is "partial 16S ribosomal RNA". It matches the Rfam family "Bacterial small subunit ribosomal RNA", at positions 28 to 507 of the family's 1533-position model. The record is from RNAcentral.